UACACUUUUAUGGCUUAUUUAGGUUUCCAACUCGUCCAUCUACUCUCCUCUUCUUCUCUUCUCGUUCAUAGUUGUGUCAGGUGAACAUAAUUUUCACAUGAAUUGAUAUUAAUUCUACUAUAUUGCAUCAUGCCUCCUUUGAUGUGCAGCACCGCCACGCGUCAACAAACACCGUCAUCUUCGCACCUCGAUUCUCGGUUCUCCUCUUCGCCUGCUCUCAAUUUUGCACGUUGGUGGAGUCUGUCGCUGCUUCCUAGAUAUUUCAGUGAGUGCAACUACUACUCCCCACAGGGAAGAUGCAGGGUUACCAGUGUUGGAGUUCAUGCAAUGCAACAAAUGUUACACUUUGUACAUGCCUUAUGAAAAGUCGGCGUUUCAAACUAUGUCAAAUAGUUGAUUCAACUUGCCUAUGCCUACUGACGACAAAAAUAAGUUUAAGUUUUCAUUCUAAAACAAUACUACUACAAUCCUUUUUUGUCCCUCAUUUCCAAAAUGGUUGUUCCCAAACGAAUUACCUGCUGCAGACUGAUCAAGAUGCAUACUCAACUCAAUCACUAAACUACUUCCCUUUACUUAUGAGCAUAAUAUAUUGUACGGAAAAGGGCCUAAAAUAUCCUUGAACUAUUGAAAAUGGUAUAAAAUUACUCUUCAUCCA
This is a non-coding RNA of Solanum lycopersicum (tomato), 655 nucleotides long. The record is from RefSeq and is a predicted model, not a curated record. Lineage: Eukaryota; Viridiplantae; Streptophyta; Magnoliopsida; Solanales; Solanaceae.